RNAcentral lists this ribosomal RNA (243 nucleotides) under uncultured bacterium. Its description in RNAcentral is "partial 16S ribosomal RNA". It matches the Rfam family "Bacterial small subunit ribosomal RNA", at positions 15 to 253 of the family's 1533-position model. The record is from RNAcentral.
GAUCAUGGCUCAGAUUGAACGCUGGCGGCAGGCUUAACACAUGCAAGUCGAACGGUAACAUAAAGAAGCUUGCUUCUUUGAUGACGAGUGGCGGACGGGUGAGUAAUGCUUGGGAAUCUAGCUUAUGGAGGGGGAUAACUACGGGAAACUGUAGCUAAUACCGCGUAGAAUCGGAAGAUGAAAGUGUGGGACCUUCGGGCCACAUGCCAUAGGAUGAGGCCCAAGUGGGAUUAGGUAGUUUGG